Molecule: ribosomal RNA, 253 nt
Filed under: uncultured bacterium
Lineage: Bacteria
Description: partial 16S ribosomal RNA
Rfam family: Bacterial small subunit ribosomal RNA
Source: RNAcentral
UACGUAGGGUGCAAGCGUUAAUCGGAAUUACUGGGCGUAAAGCGUGCGCAGGCGGUUUUGUAAGUCUGUCGUGAAAGCCCCGGGCUCAACCUGGGAAUUGCGCUGGAGACUGCAAGGCUAGAAUCUGGCAGAGGGGGGUAGAAUUCCACGUGUAGCAGUGAAAUGCGUAGAGAUGUGGAGGAACACCGAUGGCGAAGGCAGCCCCCUGGGUCAAGAUUGACGCUCAUGCACGAAAGCGUGGGGAGCAAACAGG